GCGAUCAAUGAAACACUGGCGGUGAUCAUAUUGUUGGAUAUUUGUCACGAUUUUAUGAAGAUUUCUUGGCAAUAGAAGCUAUACAGAACAGUAAUUCUACCAUCUGCUAGCUCAGAAAACUCUAAGAGUCUUCUCAGAGUAUUUUCUCGUGCCGAAGGUGGCUAGAAAACUGACACUGCGAGCUCAAAGAUCGGGGGACCAAACAGCAAGGACGUCAGCAGAGGAACAUGUUCCAGUUUGUGGUUGGAUUUGCUUCUGGAGCGGUACUAGGGGUGUACAUAGCACAGAACUAUGAGGUUCCAGAUGUGUCUAAGGUGUUUGGGGAGGCAAAGAGCAAGAUUUCAACUCUGGA
Branchiostoma floridae (Florida lancelet) is the source of this 352-nucleotide long non-coding RNA. RefSeq lists it as uncharacterized. Lineage: Eukaryota; Metazoa; Chordata; Leptocardii; Amphioxiformes; Branchiostomatidae. The record is from RefSeq and is a predicted model, not a curated record. The transcript is spliced from 3 exons.